ACAGAUCUGAAGAAGAGGGUAGGAAUCACUUUACUGAUUACCCAUAUCCUCAAACCUGGGCUGUCAGAGGUGUAUUUAAAACGACAGUGGUAAACAGGAAGUAGUCUUACAACCUGACUUUCACGAUCUGUCCCAGAUAACAACAACAAAAAAAAUGAUAUCUGAGUUAUUCAGUAUCAUUCAUCGGUCAUCCAUCGUACUAGAUGAUUAACACUGCAGGCAUUACCUUAUGUACUGAGAACCACUGUGACAGGACUUCACUACAAGUUGGCCUGCCAAAUAGGAGUUUGGAGCUCCUAUUAGUUUGACCAAUCAAGUAACAAGUUAAUGGUUUAGGAAAUCACCUGCUGAGCGUUCCACUGGCCGAAAGGAAAGAGAGAGAGGGUGAACCAACACAAAGCCCUUUGUGGGUGAAAAGGAGAGAAGCUGGACUGGAACCCAAGUGGAAAGAUUUGCCUAUCUCCAAAGCCCCAUGCAAUGCAAGAAAGGGGACCAAAGGAGUGCAGGAUGCAGGCGAGGGGUGUCCCAGGUCUGGAAAGGCGCGUCCCUGUGGCUUGUGCGCCUUCCUCGCCCGGGGUGCACAGGUCAAGCCUCUUCCCUCCCGCGCUCUCACCCUCCCAACCUUAUUUAGAAACCGUGUCCCCGAGACAGGAAGGGCGGCGGGCUGAGAAGCACGGAGCGUCCCGGCCUCAUUUCCUUUCGAAUCCCCCUGUGGAAUUUCAUUUCGUACGAGAGGUGGCCACCGGGCUGGAGUUGACAGCUGGAAGGAGAACAUGAAAGGGGCAUAGAUGUGUGAACACUUCUCACCUGAGAGAGGAGAGCAGGUUGGCUGGGCAGGAGCCACGGGGCUCCCAACGACGCCUGGCCCGCAGUGUGCAAUGGAUCCGGGUGGGAGGACGCCAAACGCUUGGAAGCCUAGCGGGGCGGGGCGGCUCUGGAGAGAGCAAGGGAGGGAGGAUCAGGCUGCGGUCCCCGG
Molecule: long non-coding RNA, 976 nt
Filed under: Cricetulus griseus (Chinese hamster)
Lineage: Eukaryota; Metazoa; Chordata; Mammalia; Rodentia; Cricetidae
Description: lncRNA (ENSCGRG00000026602.1)
Source: RNAcentral